Molecule: long non-coding RNA, 3875 nt
Organism: Humulus lupulus (European hop)
Lineage: Eukaryota; Viridiplantae; Streptophyta; Magnoliopsida; Rosales; Cannabaceae
Exons: 4
Source: RefSeq, a predicted model, not a curated record
CUCCAAGCCUCCGAUCUCCAGCCUCUCGCUGCACCUCUCGCACGAUCGACUAUCGCCUUUAGCCUUUCCGAAUAAAUGGCCUUUGAAUCGAGCUCAUCCUCGUCUCCUCUGGUGGGUCAAUGGAAGUUGAGCGCCACCUCUGCUUGCUCGGGACGCCGCCUCCUUCGGUCCAAUCGCCCCCGCUGGCCGGGGUGAAGAAGUUGAGCACGGACUAUGCCGGUGAACCUUGCCAUCAGAGAUUCCAGAAGCAGUGACCCGUAUGUUGUUGUCAAGUUGGGAAAGCAGAAGGUAAAGACUUGUGUGGUGAAGAAGAAUGUGAAUCCGGAAUGGAAUGACCUUCUCACUCUAUCAGUUUCAGAUCCAAAUACGCCAAUCAAGCUGGCAUUCUUUCACUGAUGGUGGAGAGGUCAUGUGAGAAAGAUAGUCUUUUAUGCUAUUCUAUUUUUGUAUAGGUGCUUCACUUUAAGAAGUGCCAUAUACUUUUGUCAAGAAAAGGUAAAUAAACUUUCUAAAGGUAGUAUUUAAAAUAAUUAUUGUGAAUGUUUGGAUGUUUGUAUAGAAACUGUUUGACAAAAUAUUAACUUGAUCUGGUAGUAUAUUAUAUUAACUUGAUAAAUGUUAAGUUAGUUGAAAAAAAUUCUAAUCUCCCACUAUGCAAUUUAUAAUAUGUUUUCCCCUUCUAUUAUGCUCUUCUCGGAAAGAGUUUUACUUGGCUUUAAAAAAUGCUCAUGAUUAAAUAUACUCCUGUUUUAUGUAUGGCUGAUUUGUUUGAAUCAUAAAUUGAAAGAUUUUAUCGCAGUGUGCUAUGUAUAGCUUAAAUUUGGCAACAUUGUUAUACAAAAUAUAUUUGUGCAGAGAGCAUGUUUAUGAAACUUAAUAAGCAUUUUUUGGCUUGUUGUGAAUUCUAUCAAUUAUGACUAGAUAGAUGUCAGAUGAAAUAAUUGAGAUAUUAUUAUUGCUGUUAAAAGUAUAAAUCUCAUUUCGUCUUUAAUAGAAUUGCAAAAAGUUUACUCUAGCAUAUGAUAACUUCUAUAAUUAUUUUCGACUAUAAUUUUCUGUGGCUAUAUUAGAAUGGUUCUGGCUUGCUUAUCUAGUCACCGGAAAUAUAACAAAGUUUAUACCCUACUGUUAUUCUUGUUUCAGAUGAUGUGUAUAUAGUCAUGCAAUGCCAUGAAGUUUAAGUACUUGACAUUGCCUAACAAAUUAUCAAGAAAUUUGAGAUAGGACUUAUUUAUAGAAAUUCAAAUGAGCCUUGGUAAAUGUAAUUUUUUACCUGAAAUUUUAAGUGUUAAUAUUUGAUAAGCUAUUUGAGACUGACUUUUUUUUUUUUGCUGAAGUUUUAUUAUUAACCUCACUUCAAUUUCUAAUUCUUGAGACCUUGAUAUUAUUAACAUUAUGCUUCUUUAUACAUAAUGAUUAAUUGGAUGCAAAUACACUACUACAUUAUGCUUCUAAUUCUUGAGAAUAAUGUAUUUGACUCAACCCAAGGCUGAGAAGAAAGAGUAAGAUGAGCAUUUGGUUUUUCUCUUCUUUGCAUUAUUAUUUAAUGAUUUAAUUCAGAUUUGACUCACUUUCAUUAUAUUAUAACAUUGUAAAUGUGUGUAUGUGCUGAGACAGACUUCAAAGAAACUAUUUUGCAACAGUUUGCAAGAGGUAUGCUUCUAACUUUUAUUUUAAUACUAUGCAAAUGUUAGAGGAGUUUGAAUAUCUUAAAUAUUCAUCCAUAGUGAAGUAAGUUCUGAGAUUGUUAUUGUGUGUUGCGGUGAUAACGGAAGGUUGAGAACUUGUGUGUUUUAGUGAAGUAGGAUCUGAGAAAUUUGUGUGCUGCGUAGAUAAGAAAGAAAACUUGUGUGUUGUUUGAAUUGAUGUAGACUUGUCUAUGAUCAUCUUAUAAUUGAAUUGUGUUUGUUUGAUUGGUUUGAUUAUAACAUAUACUUGUAUAACAUUGAGCAUCACUUUUGGUUCUUGUGAUCACAUGUAGGUUCAAUAGUAUAAAGUGCUAUACAAAAGUUUGAUGUUAUUAGCAUAUUGGUUGAUAAUUUAUGAUUUCUUUUUUUGUACUAGAACUACUAUUUCAAUUUGUGUUUAUUUUAAUUGAAGCAUAGCUUUAUGUUUCAUUGUAGUCUAAUAGUUUGAUCAUUUUCUUACUUAAAUAAUAUCCAAGUUAUUUUUUUUCUUCCAAACUGUAAUUGUUUUCACCAUGUUCGAUGGCCUUAGUUGAAACAAUGUAUUCUUUAAACAAUUGAAAAUUUUCUAAAAAAAUCAAUUGGUGAGUUUUGGGUUCAAUCAAUUGAGACAUAGGAUAUAUAUUUAUAUAUUUAUUCGAUAAUUUCCUUUUCUGCACUAGAACUACUAUCUCAAUUUGUGUUUAUUUUAAUUGAAGCAUAGCUUUAUGUUUCUUUGUAUUCUAAUAGUUUGAUCAUUUUCUUAUUUAAAUAAUAUCUAAGUUAUUUGUUUUCUUCCAAAUUGUGAUUGUUUUUAUCAUGUUCGAUGGCUUUAGCUGAAACAAUGUAUUCUUUAAACAAUUGAAAGUUUUCUAAAAAAAUCAAUUGGUGAGUUUUGGGUUCAAUCAAUUGAGACAUAGGAUAUAUAUUUAUAUAUUUACUUGAUGAUUUCUUUUUCUGCACCAUAACUACUAUCUCAAUUUGUGUUUCAUUGUAGUCUAAUAGUUUGAUCAUUUUCUUACUUAAAUAAUAUCUAAGUUAUUUUUUUCUUCCAAACUGUGAUUGUUUUUACCAUUUUCGAUGGCCUUAGUUGAAAUAAUGUAUUCUUUAAACAAUUGAAAAUUUUCUAAAAUGGAUUGAUUAUCACUUUGUUAAAAAUGUUGCGCUUGUAUAAAAUUCAUAAUUAUAUGGCUAUUUAUUAAAAGAAAUAUAUAUGCUUGACCAAAAGAAAUUAUGAUUUUCUAUUUUGCGUAGACUUUCAAAUGUGAAUUAGAUUUAUAAAUUUUGAUUAGGCUUAUUCACAACUCGUAGUGUUACUUUAACAACUUUGUCUGGUUUGCUUGUUGUGUUACUUUAAUAAUCUUAUGCAUAUUACCUACACAGGGUAUGUCUUUAUAUGUGUAUAUAUGUAUAUUAAUUUCUCGAUGUUUAUUGUAUAUUUGCUAAUGUGCUAUGAAUGAUUGGUAAUUUGGUUUAUUAAUGUCUGUGAUUUCAUAAACAAACUAGCUUGAGCACUUUUAAAUUGAGAUUGACAGGUAUGCAUUUCCAUUGGUCAUUGUAAUAGAGUUAGUAAUUUUACAGCUCAUUCCUUAGAAAAACUUGCAUCAUCUCUUGAUUCCCCUAGAGUUUGGUGGCUUGGUUUGCCUUCAUGUCUGUGGCCUUAAAAUUCUUUAUGUUUGAUGUUUUUGCUUCAUCUUGGUUGUUUGCCCAAUAAAAUUCUAUGAAUUUCACUCAAAAAAAAAAAAAAGAAUUAAGACUAACUACUUAGGCCAUGAGGCUAUCAAAUUUGAUAAGAAAAAUACAAAUUUUAUAUAAAUUAUUUUUGUGACUGAAAACCACAAUCAUCCUUUUUAUUUAUUCUGCAACCUCAAGUUCUUUAUUUAUUUUAGUUUUGGUUUAAUUUUAAUGGUGUUUAUUCUGUAUUGUAGGCUAAAACUCUACUUGGAUAUUUAAGAGAACCAAGACAAUUAUAUAAGAGAACCAAGGCAACACGAAAUUCUUCUUCAAGUUGUUGGGUAUUAUUUUCUUUCUUGCUUGUAAGAAUUAUGUAUUAUUUACAUUGAGAAUAAUGAAUUUUUAUUGAGAAUUAUAAUGAAUUUUCAUUAAGACUUAUUUAGUCUCAUGGGGAUUAGAUGUAUUAUUUACAUUUCAAUUGUAUGAAUAAAUGUUGUAUGUAUAUGAAUUUUUAUUAUGACAAAUAUAAUUUUUUUU